RNAcentral lists this ribosomal RNA (303 nucleotides) under uncultured bacterium. Its description in RNAcentral is "partial 16S ribosomal RNA". It matches the Rfam family "Bacterial small subunit ribosomal RNA", at positions 507 to 807 of the family's 1533-position model. The record is from RNAcentral.
AGCAGUCGCCACGGGAACACGGAGGGUGCAAGCGUUAAUCGGAAUUACUGGGCGUAAAGCGCACGCAGGCGGUCUGACAAGUCAGAUGUGAAAUCCCCGGGCUUAACCUGGGAACUGCAUUUGAAACUGUCAGGCUGGAGUCUUGUAGAGGGGGGUGGAAUUCCAGGUGUAGCGGUGAAAUGCGUAGAGAUCUGGAGGAAUACCGGUGGCGAAGGCGGCCCCCUGGACAAAGACUGACGCUCAGGUGCGAAAGCGUGGGGAGCAAACAGGAUUAGAUACCCGAGUAGUCCCUGUCUCUUAUAC